Long non-coding RNA from Mauremys reevesii (Reeves's turtle), 1173 nucleotides. RefSeq lists it as uncharacterized. Lineage: Eukaryota; Metazoa; Chordata; Testudines; Geoemydidae. The transcript is spliced from 6 exons. The record is from RefSeq and is a predicted model, not a curated record.
CAGACACUCAGCCAGUGCAAAUAAUCAUAGAUCCACUGACUUCAGUGGGGCAGAGUGAUUUGCAACAGCUGAGGAUCUCUCCCUAUGACUUCCAUGAAACUAUUCACAUGAGCAAAUGUAGGAAUAGUGAGAGCAUGCCUGUGUAGUGCAAUGGUCCUAGUCAUCUGGGAGAAGUGUGGGAUUGAUGAUGGGUUUAAGAGUCAGAUAAGAAACAGAACGUUGCAGUCACCAGGGGAAGAUAAAACAGGGGGAAACAGCGAGAACCACAGCCAGCCCAGCACUCCAGCCAAUGGGAACUUUAUCACCCAGGCUUUGAUCAUCCCUGCAGCCUGGAGGCAAGGACUAAGUAUGUGUGAUAAGCCCUAAGAGGUAGCAGGAGAGUGGUACAUAAAAGGAGAAAAAGGAAGAGAGAUUUAGAUGUUGGGAAAGGCUAGAGGAAGAAGAAAACACAUAAAAUGAGGGGAGGAGAAAAGUAACUACAACCACCAUGGCCCAUUCCUUGUGAGGAUACAGCUGAGGAAGUCAACUGAACCUUAUUACCCAGACAGAUAUUCAUACCAGCUCAAGAUAGAAUUUGGGCAUAAACUUAGCUGAUUUUACCUACCUUUCCAGAAGUAGGACAUCCCUGAAUCUGGCUAAAUCUUAUUCCCCUUACUCGUGAAAAACUCUCAUUGGCCAAUAGCAAGAUCUGGCAUCUAUUUCCCACAUGCCAGAAAAAUCCUUUGAAGAAAGAAAUUUCAAUUGAAAUUUCUUUACUAGUUUGACAGAUUAGGCUUAUGAGGUUCAAUACCCACAAAAUAUAGAUUAAGGAGUACAUUUUAGUUAACAUCGUACUUAGAAUAUGCACCCCAGAACAGAUGCAAAUACAACCAUCAAAAGUCAGUCACAUCCAAAUGGCACAGAAAGAUAAAUGUGUGCUAUGACAAGGCAUCCAGUGAGGCUCACAUCAUGGAUACACAGAUAUAGCACGGUAGUGGGUACAAUGGAAUAAAAUGAAACGCAGUGGUCAAGGUUGUUCAUUUAAGAGGUACUCAGCUACAAUCAAAACAAGAGAUUCAUUCUUCAUCUCAGCAGCUUUUAUCCUAAAAGGGCAAAAGGAAGCCAAGUCUGAUGCAUGUGCACAAAGUGCACCCAUACCAUUAAUGUAAAAGCAGACAUCUGAGCCAAUGAACU